GAGUUGAAUGGUGAUAGUCCCAUGUCUCAACGACUUCCGGUUCUUAAGUUUGGUAUUGCAUCAUAUAUUUGAUGAUUAAUUGUGACCUUGGUGAACUUUGAAAUUGUCCCAAUUCUUUUUCUAUAAUGUUGUCCUUUAACUGCAGAUCAUUUACCAUUUAACAGAUUUGAGAUAUCUAUUGUCGUUUUAGAGAUAAUGCAGUUUGAAAUUUUGCAAGCAACAGCAUGUAUUUCAGAAUCAACAACAGCUUACCACUUAAAAUGUUUAAGAAAUUGAAGAGGUAAACAUAGUUAUAUGUUUGACCAAAUACCAAAAACAUUCCAUGGAAAAAAAC
RNAcentral lists this long non-coding RNA (334 nucleotides) under Mytilus galloprovincialis (Mediterranean mussel). Lineage: Eukaryota; Metazoa; Mollusca; Bivalvia; Mytilida; Mytilidae. The record is from RNAcentral.